AGGCCAUUUUAAAGAGGGCUCAUGGGACUAUGAAACCAAGAGCUCUUAAUGCUGUGACCAAAGAUUGAAGUUCUCUGUAGGUUGCCAAAGCACUCAGUGGUGCUAUGUUUUCCUGAGGAGAUAUAAGA
Gorilla gorilla gorilla (western lowland gorilla) is the source of this 128-nucleotide small nucleolar RNA. Ensembl annotates it as small nucleolar RNA, H/ACA box 25B. Its record names the gene SNORA25B. The record is from Ensembl. NCBI's taxonomy places the organism in Eukaryota, Metazoa, Chordata, Mammalia, Primates, Hominidae.